RNAcentral lists this ribosomal RNA (1550 nucleotides) under Klebsiella pneumoniae. RNAcentral's name for it is "bacterial SSU rRNA". It matches the Rfam family "Bacterial small subunit ribosomal RNA". Lineage: Bacteria; Pseudomonadati; Pseudomonadota; Gammaproteobacteria; Enterobacterales; Enterobacteriaceae. The record is from RNAcentral.
AAAUUGAAGAGUUUGAUCAUGGCUCAGAUUGAACGCUGGCGGCAGGCCUAACACAUGCAAGUCGAGCGGUAGCACAGAGAGCUUGCUCUCGGGUGACGAGCGGCGGACGGGUGAGUAAUGUCUGGGAAACUGCCUGAUGGAGGGGGAUAACUACUGGAAACGGUAGCUAAUACCGCAUAAUGUCGCAAGACCAAAGUGGGGGACCUUCGGGCCUCAUGCCAUCAGAUGUGCCCAGAUGGGAUUAGCUAGUAGGUGGGGUAAUGGCUCACCUAGGCGACGAUCCCUAGCUGGUCUGAGAGGAUGACCAGCCACACUGGAACUGAGACACGGUCCAGACUCCUACGGGAGGCAGCAGUGGGGAAUAUUGCACAAUGGGCGCAAGCCUGAUGCAGCCAUGCCGCGUGUGUGAAGAAGGCCUUCGGGUUGUAAAGCACUUUCAGCGGGGAGGAAGGCGGUGAGGUUAAUAACCUCACCGAUUGACGUUACCCGCAGAAGAAGCACCGGCUAACUCCGUGCCAGCAGCCGCGGUAAUACGGAGGGUGCAAGCGUUAAUCGGAAUUACUGGGCGUAAAGCGCACGCAGGCGGUCUGUCAAGUCGGAUGUGAAAUCCCCGGGCUUAACCUGGGAACUGCAUUCGAAACUGGCAGGCUAGAGUCUUGUAGAGGGGGGUAGAAUUCCAGGUGUAGCGGUGAAAUGCGUAGAGAUCUGGAGGAAUACCGGUGGCGAAGGCGGCCCCCUGGACAAAGACUGACGCUCAGGUGCGAAAGCGUGGGGAGCAAACAGGAUUAGAUACCCUGGUAGUCCACGCCGUAAACGAUGUCGAUUUGGAGGUUGUGCCCUUGAGGCGUGGCUUCCGGAGCUAACGCGUUAAAUCGACCGCCUGGGGAGUACGGCCGCAAGGUUAAAACUCAAAUGAAUUGACGGGGGCCCGCACAAGCGGUGGAGCAUGUGGUUUAAUUCGAUGCAACGCGAAGAACCUUACCUGGUCUUGACAUCCACAGAACUUUCCAGAGAUGGAUUGGUGCCUUCGGGAACUGUGAGACAGGUGCUGCAUGGCUGUCGUCAGCUCGUGUUGUGAAAUGUUGGGUUAAGUCCCGCAACGAGCGCAACCCUUAUCCUUUGUUGCCAGCGGUCCGGCCGGGAACUCAAAGGAGACUGCCAGUGAUAAACUGGAGGAAGGUGGGGAUGACGUCAAGUCAUCAUGGCCCUUACGACCAGGGCUACACACGUGCUACAAUGGCAUAUACAAAGAGAAGCGACCUCGCGAGAGCAAGCGGACCUCAUAAAGUAUGUCGUAGUCCGGAUUGGAGUCUGCAACUCGACUCCAUGAAGUCGGAAUCGCUAGUAAUCGUAGAUCAGAAUGCUACGGUGAAUACGUUCCCGGGCCUUGUACACACCGCCCGUCACACCAUGGGAGUGGGUUGCAAAAGAAGUAGGUAGCUUAACCUUCGGGAGGGCGCUUACCACUUUGUGAUUCAUGACUGGGGUGAAGUCGUAACAAGGUAACCGUAGGGGAACCUGCGGUUGGAUCACCUCCUUACCUUAAAGAA